CAUAUUAUCUUAUUUUAUCCUCACAACAACCUCAUGAAGUAGAUAUUAUCUCUAGUUUGCAGGAAACUAAGGGUGGCAGAGCUGAAAUGACUUGCAUAAUGUCACAUUGCUAGCUGAUGAAGGAUUUGAACUCAGAUCUUCCUGGAAAGGCCAGAGCUCUAACCCUCUACAUCACCUGACUGCCAGAAAGGCUUGGGUCCUGUCUCACUCUGAAAUAGGAACUCUUUGGCAAUAUAACAGAUUGGAGAGAAACGUAGAAUAUAAACUCCCUGAAGGACAGGGAUUGUUUACAUUCUGUCUUCGUCCCCGAAGUGUCCGGCACAGUUCUUACACAUAGUGCUCUCCUCGCACCGAGCAGAAACUUUCAAGAUGUCUUGAGUUCUCCAUGAAGAGGAAAUGACCAAAAAGGAAUGACAUAGUAAUGAUGGAUGUGACCCUGGACUGCCUUAGUCAAUCCAGGCCAAUGUACAACGCUAAG
This 478-nucleotide long non-coding RNA is filed under the name Monodelphis domestica (gray short-tailed opossum). RNAcentral describes it as "lncRNA (ENSMODG00000049074.1)". Lineage: Eukaryota; Metazoa; Chordata; Mammalia; Didelphimorphia; Didelphidae. The record is from RNAcentral.